CUACAAAAUCCUCUGUAGGUGUUCUUAAACCUUAAGCAGGUGUUCACCUCAGAUAAAAUGCAGCCUGGUUAAAAAAUACCUAAUCAUUCAAUUCACAGGCUCCUCCACAAAACUGCAAAGCUUUAACCCUCUUCAUUUUUCUCAGCAACCUGUUACGAGCGUUCCCUUGGCGGGGCUGUGUUAUUAACUCCCCUCUCCCCCAAAUCUAAGCAGUCAAGUAGAAUUUCGAAGGUUUGUGUGCUAUACAAAAACACCAAAAUGCAAAUAUCGCUCCCAGCUGCCUGUUCAAGUCCAAAAAGUACGUUGGUAGUCACGUCGGGCUUUUUUGCUACCCCAUGGACUGCAGCCCGCCAGGCUCCUCUGUCCAUGGGAUUCUCCAGGAAAGAGUACUAGAGUGGGUUGCCAGUUCCUUCUCCAGGGGAUCUAUCUACCUGACCCGGGGAUCCAACCUGGGUCUCCUGGACUGCAAACGGAUUCUUUACCGUCUGAGCCACCACAGAAGCCCCACUGUUAAUUGUACAGUCGUAUCCGACUCUUUGCGACUCCAUGGACUGUAGCCCACCAGACUCCUCUGUCCAUGGAAUUCUCCAAGCAUGAAUACUGGAGUGUGUUGCCGUUUCCUUCUCCAGAACAGAAGCCCCAACCCCACUCAAAUUCAGCUCUUAAGUUUCAGCCGUUGCUCCCAAAGUGAAGGAAAAAAAUAGCAGCAGCCCCGAGGCGCGCCGUUUUAGCAAUAGUCCACUUUUGAACAAAGGAGGAAAGAACAGAGUUUAAAGGAAAAGACGGGGAUUUUAAGAAUGGUUAGACUGGUGGAGAAAGAAGAAAGAUCAGAGACCUGAGAGCCAAGGCGCGAUGGGUGCUCAGAGGAGGAACCUGCGGGUGCCAAUGCGUCCCCGCAGCCCCGACACCACCCAGACCUUGAGCCCCCGUCGCGUAGCCCGCGCUUUGCAAGUUUCGCGCGACACGUGCUGCGCCCCAGAGACCGGGUCCCGGAGGUGGGGAGCCGCCCAUCGCCCCCACCUCGCGCCUGCUCCGUGCUUCUCUCCGCUCAGCCAGCCCUCGCUCCUCUCCGGCUCUUUCAGCAGCUGCUCGGGUGGAUUCUGUUCCCUCCGGCAACGCCCUCUCUCUCCCUGGGUUAAUUAAGUGAUGGUCGCCAAGGAAAUGGCAAGUAGGGGGGAGGGGGAAAGGAGUGGGAAGUGAGUCCCUCAAAUCAGCGAUUUUUGAAGGAGACUUACACUACGUAGAAGAAGGGAGUAAAGGAUAGGGCGGUGAAGGAGAACAUGAAUUGGCCUCUUAGGAAAAACAAGUCGACUGGCCUUGACUGUGAAAAAAAAAUCCCAGUUUUAAGUUCAUCCUUGGGCUUCGUAUGAAGCCACCUUCCUUCAUUGUUAACAGCUGUGUGGGCUGUUUGCUUGUUUGGUUUUUGCAGUGUUUGACAAUGUUGCUGGAGCCCUUCCUCUAUCCUCAGGUCUUCUCAGUUAGCUUUCCUGACAUCACUCUCUCCUGGUUCCUCUAUCAUCUUAGCCAAGUCACCCUUGACAUUGGCAACUUAAAAAUUGUUUUGACUCAUGAUGUCUUCGGGCUUCCCUGGUGGCUCAGAUGGUAAAGAAUCUGCCCACAAUGUGGGAGAUCUGGGUUCCAUCCCUAGGUGGAGAAGAUCCCCUGGAGAAGGGAAUAGUUACCCACUCCAGUAUUCUUGCCUGGAACAUCCCAGGGACAGAGGAGCCUGGCGGCCUAGGGUCCAUAGGGUUGCGAAGAGUCCAGCUCGAAAGUGACUAAAACACAACAAGAUGCAUUUGUUACUACUAGGGUCCUUAAACUCUAUGAUUGUCACCAGCCAGGGUUCUUGGACUUCUUAAUCAGUAAAAACUGAUAAAAAGCCAGAUAAGAAAUUCAGACAAGGCUUUAUUGGCACCUGGGUUGCAACAGGAGGGAGCGAAAACAAGUAACAGGUGUCCUUGCUUGCUCCCUCCCUAAGUCAGGCGAGCUGGUUCCCUACAUGGGGUGAGGGUCUGGGGUCAGGACAGGGUGGCUUAGGUGGUCUGCUCCUCCCUUUGCUGGGUGCAUAUGUAGUGCCCUGGGGAUGCCCUGCUUUUGCUCCUGAGUCCUCAGAAGUGGAAUUGUGUGUGUGUACACCUUGUUCUUUAUGUUUUUUCCCAACUGCACAUGCACGUGGUUAUUUUUAGGUCCUUAUGAGUUUUUUUUUUUGUAUUUUGUUGCACAACGAGACAUUUGUCCAUGUGCAAGCACUGCAGCAAAGGGUCUCAGGUCCCAGAUUUCCGGUCCCAGCCUGUCUCCUAAUCAGAAAUUGUUAAGAGGCCAGAUGAAGAAUUCAGACAUGGCUUUACUGGGACUCUUGCUGCACCUGGAAGAAGUGAGAGCAAGAAACAGGUGCCCUUGCCCAUUCCUGGAGGGGGAGUGGGAAGAGUCGGUUUCAUAAAAGGAGCCCUGCCAAUAUUGUACCUCAGUCUUCAAGGAACACAGAACCAAAGACUUCGAGAAGAUCUGUCUACUCACAAACAUAACAGCUAUGGAAAGUCACUAAUUAAAAACUAGGUGUAUUCUUUACUGCUGAACCAUCGGGAGUGCUGCUGCUGCUACUAAGUCACUUCAGUCAUGUCCAACUCUGUGCGACCCCAUAGACGGAAGCCCACCAGGCUCCCCCGUCCCUGGGAUUCUCCAGGCAAGAACACUGGAGUGGGUUGCCAUUUCCUUCUCCAGUGCAUGAAAGUGAAAAGUGAAAGUGAAGUCGCUCAGUCCUGUCUGACUUUUAGCGACCCCAUGGACUGCAGCCUACCAGGCUCCUCUGCCCAUGGGAUUUUCCAGGCAAGAGUACUGGAGUGGGGUGCCAUUGCCUUCUCCGGCCACCAGGAGUUACCUCUGGCCAAAUUCACUUAACAACUUCAUCUCUUUCCACUCCUCCUUGGCAUCCUAAUUUAUACCCUCAAUGAAAUAACAGGCCAUAAACCUUUGCAUCUGUGUUUUCCUAUAGAACUUUGUUUAUACUUUAACAUAAACGUUUCCUUUUUAUGUAUUCAUGUUCUUAGCCAGAUUAGGAACUUCAUGAUGACACAGACUAUGUCUUAAUUCAGGCAGUUAUAAAUGUGAACUAUACUUAUAUUGUUUUAAUUCCUGGGGGCCCUACAUAUAUUUAGUCUCUAAAAGUGGAACGUGUCAAGGCAAUAUAUAACAAAAGGAUUCCCUUGCCAAUGAGUUAGCUUUUAGUCUUUGAGAAAUAUGAUCAAAUUAAAAAGCCAUCAAGGACAUUAACUAAACUUGUGGUAAUCACCUCACAGUAUAUGCAUAUAUCAAAUCAUUGUGCUGCGCAUCUUAAACUUAUACAGUUUAAGUUUAAACUUAUAAGUCUUGGGGGAUAGAAAAAUCAGGAAAUUGCUAAAAAUACAUAAAAACCCAUCAAGUGAAUUAAAUAAAGUGUAUAUAUUUCAAUAUUUUUUUUGUCACACAUUUGCUAGGCAAACAAUUGCAUUUUAAAUAAGCAGCCAUCAAAAACACCAUCGCCUUUUGUAGCUACAUCAGUCUCUCCACUAGGUCUUUGACUAUGUGGAUCACCACAAACUGUGGAAGAUUCCUAAACAGAUGGGAAUACUAGACCUCCUCACCUGCCUCCUGAGAAACCUGUAUGCAGGUAAAGAAGCAGCAGUUAGAACCAUACAUGGAACAACAGACUGAUUCAAAAUUGGGAAAGGAGUACAUAAAGGCUAUAUAUUGUCACCCUGCUUAUUUAAUUUAUAUGCAGAGCACAUCAUGCAAAAUGCUAGGUUGGAUGAAGCACAAGCUGGAAUCAAGAUUGCCAGGAGAAAUAUCAAUUACCUCAGAUAUGCAGAUGACACCACCCUUAUGGCAGAAAGCAAAGAGGAAUGAAAUAGCCUCUUGAUGAAGGUGAAAGAGCAGAGUGAAAAAGCUGGCUUAAAACUCAACACUCAAAAAACUAAGAUCAUGGCAUCCAGUCC
Molecule: long non-coding RNA, 3971 nt
Organism: Bos taurus (domestic cattle)
Lineage: Eukaryota; Metazoa; Chordata; Mammalia; Artiodactyla; Bovidae
Source: Ensembl